AUUUAGGUUGAUUCUGCCUAACGUAGAUGCUAGUCUCUGAGAUUAAGCCAUGCAUGUCAGUGAAGCCUUACGGCGGAACGGCGAACGGCUCAGUAAUGUUGCGGUAAUUUGGUCUCUGUGUGUAAACUAACCACGGUAACCUGUGGCUAAAAGCGGAGAAUAAGGCGCAACCCUAUCAGCUUGUUGGUAGUGUAAAGGACUACCAAGGCCAUGACGGGUAACGGGAAAUCAGGGUUUGAUUCCGGAGAGGGAGCCUGAGAGAUGGCUCCCACGUCCAAGGACGGCAGCAGGCGCGAAACUUGUCCACUCCUUACGGGGGAGACAGUCAUGAGACGUGAGUAUAAGACCUGAGUGUAAAGACCUUAGGGUGAAGCAAUUGGAGGGCAAGCUUUGGUGCCAGCAGCCGCGGUAACUCCAACUCCAAGAGUGUCUAUGGUGGAUGCUGCAGUUAAAGGGUCCGUAGUCGUGAAUGCAAUUAAAUGUCGUUGUUCAAUAGCGAUGAGUUUGCUAAUGUUUGCGGAACGGAUAGGGAGUGUAGUAUAGACUGGCGAAGAAUGAAAUCUCAAGACCCAGUUUGGACUAACGGAGGCGAAGGCGACACUCUUAGACGUAUCUUAGGAUCAAGGACGAAGGCAGGAGUAUCGAAAGUGAUUAGACACCGCUGUAGUUCCUGCAGUAAACUAUGCCGACAGCCUGUGUGUGAGAAUACGUGGGCGGGAGAAAUCUUAGUGUUCGGGCUCUGGGGAUAGUACGCUCGCAAGGGUGAAACUUAAAGCGAAAUUGACGGAAGGACACUACCAGGAGUGGAUUGUGCUGCUUAAUUUAACUCAACGCGGGAAAACUUACCAGGGUCAAGUCAUUCGUUGAUCGAAUACGUGAGAAUGGCAGGAGUGGUGCAUGGCCGUUGGAAAUUGAUGGGGCGACCUUUAGCUUAAAUGCUAAACCAGGAGACUCCUGCAGU
Molecule: ribosomal RNA, 961 nt
Organism: Enterocytozoon bieneusi H348
Lineage: Eukaryota; Fungi; Microsporidia; Enterocytozoonidae
Rfam family: Microsporidia small subunit ribosomal RNA
Source: Rfam